Molecule: ribosomal RNA, 959 nt
Filed under: uncultured organism
Description: bacterial SSU rRNA
Rfam family: Bacterial small subunit ribosomal RNA
Source: RNAcentral
GCUCAGAUUGAACGCUAGCGGCGUGCUUAACACAUGCAAGUCGAGCGGUAACAUGUCCUUCGUGAUGCUGACGAGUGGCGGACGGGUGAGUAACUCGUAUGGAUCUGCCUGGUCAUUGGGGGACAACCUGGGGAAACCCAGGCUAAUACCGCCUACGCCCCGAUGGGGAAUGAGAGGCUCUGCUUGCAAGCACUCGCUAUAGGAUGACCCUACCUCUGAUUAUCUAGUUGGUAUGGUAAAGGCCUACCGAGACGACGAUCCGUAGCUGGUCUGAGAGGAUCAUCAGCCACGCUGGGACUGAGACACGGACCAAACUCCUACUGGAGGCAGCCGUGAGGAAUAUUGGACGAUGGCGGCAAUCCUGAUCCAACAAUGCCGCGUGGAUGAAGAACGCCUGAGGGUUGUAAAGUCCUUUCGGUGAGGAAGAGGUUUUGGGGUGUGAAUAGCGCUCUGGGGUGACGUUACCCACAGAAGAAGCAGCGGCUAACUCCGUGCCAGCAGGCGCGGUAAUACGGAGGGUGCAUGCGUCGAUCGCAAUUACUGGGCGUGGAGCGCAUGUAGGCGGUCUGCCAAGUCAGAUGUGAGAUCCCCGGGCUCAUCCUGGGAGUGUUAUAUGAUACUGGUAGGCUAGAGUGUGAUAGAGGGUAGUGGAAUCCCCGGUGUAGCGGAGAAGAUGCGUAUAUGUCGAGAGGAACACCUAUGGCGAACGACUCUGGCUGGGUCGACAGUGACGCUGAUGUGCGAGCCGCGUGGGGAGCAAAGGGGAUUAUAUACCCGGGUAGUCCACGCGGUAGACGAUGAGCAAGAGACGUGGGGGAGGUUACUCCUCGGUGUCGCAGCUAACGCGUUAAGUUCUCCGCCUGGGGAGUACGGCCGCAAGGUUGAAACUCAAAGGAAUUGACGGGGGCCCGCACAAGCGGUGGAGCAUGUUGGUUAAUUCGAUGCAACGCGAAGAACCU